UUCGAAAUCCGGGUGACGCUACGGACUUAAUUGGAUUGAGCCUUGGUAAAAAUCCGUCGACUUUUAAAAUCGUGAUGGGUUCAAGUCCCUCCUAUCCCCAAAAAAGCCUAUUUGACUCUAAAAAAAUUUAUCCUAUCCCCCCUUUUUCGUUAGCAGUUCAAAAUUCCUUUAUCUUUCUAAUUGUUUUACAAAUGUAUUUG
RNAcentral lists this transfer RNA (200 nucleotides) under Achimenes warszewicziana. RNAcentral's name for it is "partial tRNA-Leu". The record is from RNAcentral. Lineage: Eukaryota; Viridiplantae; Streptophyta; Magnoliopsida; Lamiales; Gesneriaceae.